Molecule: ribosomal RNA, 492 nt
Filed under: uncultured bacterium
Lineage: Bacteria
Description: partial 16S ribosomal RNA
Rfam family: Bacterial small subunit ribosomal RNA
Source: RNAcentral
GGUGAACGCUGGCGGUAGGCCUAACACAUGCAAGUCGAACGGCAGCACAGUAAGAGCUUGCUCUUACGGGUGGCGAGUGGCGGACGGGUGAGGAAUACAUCGGAAUCUACUUUUUCGUGGGGGAUAACGUAGGAAAACUUACGCUAAUACCGCAUACGACCUACGGGUGAAAGCAGGGGAUCUUCGGACCUUGCGCGAUUGAAUGAGCCGAUGUCGGAUUAGCUAGUUGGCGGGGUAAAGGCCCACCAAGGCGACGAUCCGUAGCUGGUCUGAGAGGAUGAUCAGCCACACUGGAACUGAGACACGGUCCAGACUCCUACGGGAGGCAGCAGUGGGGAAUAUUGGACAAUGGGCGCAAGCCUGAUCCAGCCAUACCGCGUGGGUGAAGAAGGCCUUCGGGUUGUAAAGCCCUUUUGUUGGGAAAGAAAAGCAGCAGGUUAAUACCCCGCUGUUCUGACGGUACCCAAAGAAUAAGCACCGGCUAACUUCGUG